This 73-nucleotide transfer RNA is filed under the name Mycobacterium sp. AZCC_0083. RNAcentral describes it as "tRNA-Asn". It matches the Rfam family "tRNA". From Rfam's summary of the family: Transfer RNA (tRNA) molecules are approximately 80 nucleotides in length. Their secondary structure includes four short double-helical elements and three loops (D, anti-codon, and T loops). Lineage: Bacteria; Bacillati; Actinomycetota; Actinomycetes; Mycobacteriales; Mycobacteriaceae. The record is from RNAcentral.
UGGCCUGUCGGUUAAUCCGGUAAACCAACGCCCUGUUAAGGCGUGACUCUAGGUUCGAAUCCUGGUGGGCCAG